This 1010-nucleotide ribosomal RNA is filed under the name uncultured Cryobacterium sp. RNAcentral describes it as "bacterial SSU rRNA". It matches the Rfam family "Bacterial small subunit ribosomal RNA", at positions 385 to 1393 of the family's 1533-position model. The record is from RNAcentral. Lineage: Bacteria; Bacillati; Actinomycetota; Actinomycetes; Micrococcales; Microbacteriaceae.
GAUGCAGCAACGCCGCGUGAGGGACGAAGGCCUUCGGGUUGUAAACCUCUUUUAGUAGGGAAGAAGCGACUGGGUUUUCCUGGGAGUGACGGUACCUGCAGAAAAAGCACCGGCUAACUACGUGCCAGCAGCCGCGGUAAUACGUAGGGUGCAAGCGUUGUCCGGAAUUAUUGGGCGUAAAGAGCUCGUAGGCGGUUUGUCGCGUCUGCUGUGAAAACCCGAGGCUCAACCUCGGGCCUGCAGUGGGUACGGGCAGACUAGAGUGCGGUAGGGGAGAUUGGAAUUCCUGGUGUAGCGGUGGAAUGCGCAGAUAUCAGGAGGAACACCAAUGGCGAAGGCAGAUCUCUGGGCCGUAACUGACGUUGAGGAGCGAAAGCAUGGGGAGCGAACAGGAUUAGAUACCCUGGUAGUCUAUGCCGUAAACGUUGGGAACUAGAUGUGGGGACCAUUCCACGGUCUCCGUGUCGCAGCUAACGCAUUAAGUUCCCCGCCUGGGGAGUACGGCCGCAAGGCUAAAACUCAAAGGAAUUGACGGGGGCCCGCACAAGCGGCGGAGCAUGCGGAUUAAUUCGAUGCAACGCGAAGAACCUUACCAAGGCUUGACAUAUACCGGAAACGGCUGGAAACAGUCGCCCCGCAAGGUCGGUAUACAGGUGGUGCAUGGUUGUCGUCAGCUCGUGUCGUGAGAUGUUGGGUUAAGUCCCGCAACGAGCGCAACCCUCGUCCUAUGUUGCCAGCACGUAAUGGUGGGAACUCAUGGGAUACUGCCGGGGUCAACUCGGAGGAAGGUGGGGAUGACGUCAAAUCAUCAUGCCCCUUAUGUCUUGGGCCUCACGCAUGCUACAAUGGCCGGUACAAAGGGCUGCUAUACCGCAAGGUGGAGCGAAUCCCAAAAAGCCGGUCUCAGUUCGGAUUGAGGUCUGCAACUCGACCUCAUGAAGUCGGAGUCGCUAGUAAUCGCAGAUCAGCAACGCUGCGGUGAAUACGUUCCCGGGCCUUGUACACACCGC